AGCAGCCGCGGUAAUUCCAGCUCCAAUAGCGUAUAUUAAAGUUGUUGCAGUUAAAAAGCUCGUAGUUGAAUUUCGGGGUCAGUAGAUUGGUCGUGCCACUGGCAUGUACUGGUCUUACUGGCUCCUCCUUCCUGAUGAACCGUAAUGCCAUUAAUUUGGUGUUGCGGGGAGACUGGACUGUUACUUUGAAAAAAUUGAGUGUUUAAAGCAGGCUAACGCUUGAAUACAUUAGCAUGGAAUAAUGAAAUAGGACGUUCGAUCUUAUUUUGUUGGUUUCUAAGAUUGACGUAAUGAUUAAUAGGGAUAGUUGGGGGCAUUAGUAUUCAAUUGUCAGAGGUGAAAUUCUUGGAUUUAUUGAAGACUAACUACUGCGAAAGCAUUUGCCAAGGAUGUUUUCAUUAAUCAAGAACGAAAGUUAGGGGAUCGAAGACGAUCAGAUACCGUCGUAGUCUUAACCAUAAACUAUGCCGACUAGGGAUCGGAUGAUGUUAAAUUUUUUAAUUGAACUCA
This 510-nucleotide ribosomal RNA is filed under the name uncultured Glomeraceae. RNAcentral's name for it is "SSU rRNA". It matches the Rfam family "Eukaryotic small subunit ribosomal RNA", at positions 569 to 1078 of the family's 1831-position model. Lineage: Eukaryota; Fungi; Glomeromycota; Glomeromycetes; Glomerales; Glomeraceae. The record is from RNAcentral.